This 403-nucleotide ribosomal RNA is filed under the name uncultured bacterium. RNAcentral describes it as "partial 16S ribosomal RNA". It matches the Rfam family "Bacterial small subunit ribosomal RNA", at positions 30 to 526 of the family's 1533-position model. The record is from RNAcentral.
AUUGAACGCUGGCGGCAGGCUUAACACAUGCAAGUCGAACGCAGUGGGGACGGGUGAGUAACACGUGGGUAACCUCCCAUCAGAGGGGAUAAAACUUGGAAACAGGUGAUAAACCGAUACUGAUGGAUGGAACCGCGGUGCAUUAGCUAGUUGGUGAGGGAACGGCUCACCAAGGCCACGAUGAAUAGCCGACAUGCGAGGGUGAUCGGCCACACUGGGACUUGGACACGGCCCAGACUCCUACGGGAGGCAGCAGUGGGGAAUAUUGCACAAUGGGCGAAAGCCUGAUGCAGCCAUGCCGCGUGUAUGAAGAAGGCCUUAGGGUUGUAAAGUACUUUCAGCGGGGAGGCGUUACCCGCAGAAGAAGCACCGGCUAACUCCGUGCCAGCAGCCGCGGUAAUUC